Long non-coding RNA from Anas platyrhynchos (mallard), 2508 nucleotides. RefSeq lists it as uncharacterized. Lineage: Eukaryota; Metazoa; Chordata; Aves; Anseriformes; Anatidae. The record is from RefSeq and is a predicted model, not a curated record.
CCUCGAUCCCUCAGGAGCAGGAGGCUGGGUCUUCAACAUGUUCUGGAAAGCACUCUCCAGACUUGAGCUGCUUCAUAAAUAACAAAGCUGACCUAGGGAAAGCUGGAGUUGGUUUCAAACUAGGUCCGUACUUUUUUUUAAUUGGCUCAGUCAGAGCAUAUAUAUAGCCAGGAAAGCAACCAGGAGCCAGGGUGAACGCCUCCCGUGGCAGCGAGCACACACUGAUCCAUCGCAGCUCAGGCUGGUUGCCCCAGCAAAAGGAAGGAGAGUCUCUCCACAGGCAGCAGCCACCGUGCCCAGCUGUGACAGCAGGACAGGGGAAUGUUAUUUGUACAAGGGUCAUGAUCAGUUCACUCAGAAUUUCUGCUCAGAAGCUGUACUGUAAAAUAGAAGAAAAGCUUCUUCAAUUGCCUGUUUCAAGGCUGUCAUCAGUUAGCAGUUUUUCUUCCUACCAGAUGACCAGGCAUGGUAGAAAUUAUAAAGCUACAUUGGAAGAUUACACGUUUAGCUUUUCAGAGUGUGGAGUACUGUACAAUUUCCUAUUGAAUGUUUAAGUGGUUAAAGCCAAGCAAAUGGAGAGGAAGAAGAGAAGAACAUGCCAUGUACCAGCUGCAGAAGACAGCCCUUCACCUAAACAUGGUUGUAAAUGAUCUGAGUCCUCUGCUGCUGGUCAUCUUGAUUUUCCAUCAUAUUUUGUAUCUUGGAGGAAUUUUGACAGGUUUAUGUGUGACACUAGGUUACCCUGUAAAGUGGAAAGCCUGUAAUUAGAUGCUGUGUAAUCAGUAACCUCCCACUGGCAACCACUCUGCCUUAAAUCUGCCAUCACACUUAAUCAAGAAAAUGCCCCCAGGGAGGCCAGUGUCUCCACAAGCCACGAACCUGUCAUCUGCGGGAUUUACCUUGACACAUACUGCCACCUCUGUAAAGGACCUGCCCUAAAAUACAAGAAAAGGCCACAGAUGAGGACAAGCACGUGUCCUGUAAAGCUAAAGCCACCAACAGGACCCUUCACAUACUGCAUGGGAUGUGACUACGUAUCUUACGUAGAAGUGUGUUAAGGGAUGUGUUUGAUGGCUUCAACAAGAAUUUAGCCUACAAUUGCUAUUUGAAUAAAAGAUUAACCAUUCCUAGCAGUAUUUGAAAUAACUGGAACUGCACAGCGUAAGAGACAGCCAUAACAAUAACACAAAGCUACACAAAUGUGACAGGACAGACUGCAAUGAAGGUAUGAGUUGAGAAAGAUUUUUUUCCUAUAAAACCAUUACUGUACGUAUACCAUUUUUGUUGUUUUUUUUUUUAAAUGUCAACUACAAAAAAGAUACGUUAUAUAAGGGAGAGGUAUCAUUAAAUACACAAACACACCCACAAGCCAAAAUAGUGCCAUAAAAGUCCAAAAGCGAGUGUCUAGUUAAAACUAAUGUUUUUUAAUAAAAUUUCUUGGAACUGUUUUUAGUGUGCUCAGAUAUAUAUAUACCUGCUUACUUCUCAGAUAAAAACAUGCAAAAAGAGAAGUCUGCUACAUGAAUGCAGCAUGCGUGUCAUUGUUUUUGACAGAGUAGCCAGUGAGGAGAAAAUGCAUUUAGAGGCAAGAAUUAACUGCAACUGUAGAUAGCAAGUAAAGACUAAGAGGACCAUAAAGGUCCUGAGUUCCUAAGGGGUUUAUUUACUGAUGUCUGUCUGAGAAAUGGCUAAUCUUAUCACAGACCUCCCUCAUUACCGUGAAAAUAGAAAUUUGGACCUGCACAGGCAGUUGCUGGUAUACAUCCCCCAUGAUACACAAGUGGUACAAAAUGACAGUGAUUGUUCUCGUUGGCACGACACCAUAGUGCAGAGCAGGCAGACAUGGGUCCCAGUAGGCAGCCUGAUGACCCAAGUCCCAUCCCUGACUCAUAAAUACUUUCUUCAUGUUUAAUAUAAAAAGCUUAAAUGCCAGUCAUAAAACAGCUCCUGCCUGAGCUGCUGCUCUCUGCAGGCACCAAUCCAUGCACCUGCCAAGGUGAGAAAGGCAACAUUGACGAUCUUGAAUUGCAGCACAGAGAUGAAAUAGAGGUAAAAGUUGUCUUGUUUUCACUUAAUACAACUUCUUAAAUUACUCUAUAUCAGCAGAGCGACUGAAGCCCCCAGAAAUUUAGCAUUUAUCUGCGUCUUCAAAAUUAUUUAACAGGAAGCAUUUUUUAUAGCUACAAGAAAUGUUCAUAAUCAUAAUAGGUACCAACUAACUGGUACUGCUUUGCAACCAUGUCUUGAACAUGUGACUAUACUUUUCUUCAUUUUAAUGUAUUCUGUUCAGAUCAUUUCAUCUAGCUUCAGUAAUUCAUGCAAUAUUCAUUACCUUGCAAAGGCACACUGAGUCUUCUGUACAGAAUACUAAAACCCUUGGGGAAGUAGAUUGACCAUUGAAAUCUUACUAACAUAUUUUGAUACACAUUAUCUAUUACUAAUAUAUGUUGAUACAUACAUAUACAUACAUACAAGAGACAUUAAGAAACAAGCACCUCAUUCUUCAGA